Molecule: long non-coding RNA, 1387 nt
Organism: Canis lupus familiaris (dog)
Lineage: Eukaryota; Metazoa; Chordata; Mammalia; Carnivora; Canidae
Exons: 8
Source: RefSeq, a predicted model, not a curated record
UUAAUCACUCCAUAGCCAGGACUUACCCUUGAACAUGGUAAUCAGAAAAGUCCAUAGUGUUUGUUGAAUGAGUGACUGGGCAAACUUUGGCCUAUUCGCCUUCAUUUCACUUUUCAUCCUAUCUCUAAGUCCCAGUAGGUUCUUCCUUUGUUCAUUUCUGACACUCACCUCCUCCCUUCCAUACCCGCUGCUUCUGUGUUGAGGGGCUACAGAAGAUAAUGAAAUGGGCCAGACCAUGGUGAGUAGACAGGCUACCAGAGUGAGCAACUCCUGGAGAAAACGCCACUUCAAGCAAAACAAAGCAUGAGGCACCAAGUGGGAAGACGGAAUUUAGAGCCUGAAACUCACACUCCAGGCAGGAAAUGUGGCCAUGUGCUGCUGUACACCUGUACAGGAGGAAACAGGUAGAAGGAAAUGGAGUGAAGAUAAUGAUUUUAAUUUGCUUGGAAUGAAAGCAGGUUACAGAAGACACAGAAGGAGUGACUGGUGCCAUUCUGGAUAUGGAGAAUCUAUAAAUCAGAGUUCUUGAGUGAGGACAACAUAUGGCACAGCACCCUUACCUCCCAACCAAUGUGAGACAGACACAUGUGGCAUAGGAGAUCUGGGGUUCCCUCCGCUGGCAGACUUCCCGGAGACCUUCCAGCCCAGGAUCACUCCUAUGGUGGAUGUGAUGGGUGGACGAUGUACUGGAUGGGAAGCUAUCCAAGUCCGACACACCUGUUGGAAGGGCUCUGCACUCCCUGAGACCUAGAGGUUUAGGAGCGCAGUUGACUGGUGAGAGCGCCAUGGUCCUCACUGAGUGCCAGCCUAGCAAAAUCAUUCCCACCUCGAGACUCCAAGACUCCGUCUUUUCUCUACACCUCUGAGGGCUCCGGGCCACAAGCCUCAGCACCCCCGAUCUAAAGGAUUCAUCAAAUAAUCCAUGGAAAGAGUUUAGGAGCAGACAUAAGUUUCUUCUAGGCCUCUGAGCAGUAAAGGGGUUGAUUCUAGGUCCAAGAUCUGGUCUGCAGUAAAAAUGACCUACAGCUCAGGUACUCAGCCCAGGUAACCCUACUAACUACCGCUUUUGAGGCUCAUCAGAUGGGGGUUGAUGACUUACCACCUGCCUCACAACCAGGCAAUGCUGGACUGUGGGGUGGGGCAGAAACAGGCAGGUUAACAGGUACUAUUUGACAAGUGAUAAUAAUAUACUUACAAACCUUGCUUCCAAAGUACGUCUUCUGAGCAAGGCCAAGGAUAUGAUAUUAUCUAUCAUAAGGAGAUUUUCCAUUCCCCGUGUAGAACCCUGCCAGGCAGUUAAAUGACAUCGAGAACACGCUGACAGCUUGCUGUGUUCUUGACCCCAUUAUGCAGCCAGUGUACCAAAUAUGCCUCCUCUGAAAAUAAA